GUGAUCCACCAGCCUCGGCCUCACAAAGUGCUGGGAUUACAGGUAUGAGCCACCACGCCCAGCCUGCAAACAUAUGUUGAACUCUUUGCACAGUGCCCUGCAUGAGAUAGAUGACAGCUCCUUCUUCCAUGUUGUUAAUUUGGUGUGAGUAUAUGUUAUAUGUAUGUAUAUGCAAGAUAAUAAUCUUCUUGUAACCACUGACAGGCCUUUUUGUGAAUGAUGAUGGAAAAAGCAAGAACCUUGUCCAGGUUCCUCUCCAGGGAGCAGGGGUGGGUUGUGAUUCUUGAUUUCAUUCCUUUAGAUAUGAAGAGUUUUCACACAGAGGCAGCACGAAUUUGUCUCUCUCCUAGAGGGUGGGGAGAGUUGCUGGGUGGAUAUAACUGCAUCACAGCCUUUCUGGGUAAACUGGCCACUCCCUACUGAUUUGUUAUCAUGCUAAAUGUGUCUCCUCCCUUCCUUUCUGGAGCUUUUGCAGCUGUUCCUGGAAGGAGACCCAGUUGAAAGGGGUUGUUAUGGACCAGGAACAGCUGGGAUCUUUAAUGAUCUGUGAGCAGCUUACAGCAAAGUUCCAACACCCUGAGUAUCAGUCCCCAAAUCCUUGGUCUUUGCAUUCCAACACAAAGUAAAAAGGAUUGAGCAGGGUUUUGGUUUUGGUUGCAAGUAACAGAAACCCAACGCUAAUUAAUAAACGGGAAAGUGUGUCAGUGGAAAUGUAAGUAAGAAGAGAUUUCAUUUACUGGCCAAUUCAAAAGAUGACAAGCUUUAGGCGUGGCUCAGUCCAGUGGCUCAUGAUGUCUUCAGGACUCAGUGUUUCUCUGUUGUCAUCUCUUAGUUCUAUUAUUUUUUCUGUGUUGGUUCAUUAUGAGGUUUCCUUUAGAGGGUGGCAGAGAAAGCCACUAGUUGCUUCAAGUCUUUAUUUUACCAGCUCCACAAGUCCGACGGAAAGAGAAAACUGCUUUCCCAAAGGGUGUAAGAGGAUGAAAGGCAUGUCAUCAGCUGAAUUGCAUCAGGUGUCCAUCUUGGAAUCAAUCACGGUGCCUCUUAUUAGCAAAGCCUGAGUCAUAGGAACUGGACUCUGCUACCAGAAUGAGCUGCAAGGGAGAUUCUUCCUCAGAAGCUUCAGAUAAGAACUCCACCUGGCUGACCUUUGAUUUUGGUUUUGUGAGAACUUUGGCAGAUAACCCAGGCAUGUGUCAUUUCACAUCUGCAUAAAAAGACAUGCUGAAGGAUGUUCCUUGCAGAAUGGUUAUAGAGAAAAAUGGGAAUAACCACGAUAUAAAGUAACAGGAUUUCAACAGUGAAGGAGACCUGAGAAACCAUAAAAUCAAUCUCUCAAAUUGAAGUUGAAAAAAGCAAAUCAUCUCUCACACCCACCCUGAUUGGUAAUAAUUAACUUGGCAAUACUUCAGUUACUCUUUCAUUAAGCAGUUCUCCUAGAUAUCGAAUUUAUGUUAGUUUAUUUAUUGGAUUCAUCCUAAGCAUUCAAGGUACUUUUGAAGGAUAUGAGGCAAACUGUUAGCAUCAUUUAACAUUUAUUGAAUUGUAGCAUCCACAUAACUUAGAGCAGACACAAGACUUAAUGAGAAAAGCAAGACAUUAUUCCUGUUUUAUAGAGAGUAACCAAGGCCAACAGGUAGAAAGAAGACUUGCCCAAAGUCAGACAGAAAAUGUUGAGAGGAGAUUAGGACCCACUUAGGUUAUUUUUGGUAGAUUGCUCUUUUCACUUAUACAUAGCUGAGUUUGCCAGGAAUAAAGAAAAUAUACUGAACAUGAACAGUUAAUUGAGAUGCUUAAGCGUAAACACAUGGAGGGGUGGUAGGUAAGCGCUUGUGUUGACUCAGCCAUCAUUCUGUUUGUGUGUGCCAAUCAGUCUCUGCCAGUUGGUAUCAGUCAUUAUCCAAUGAGAGAAAUGAGAGCUAGGAAAAGGGGAGUGAGCCCCGAUUAUCUUUUAUAAGUAUAUAAAUUGAUGGCUAUGGUAGGAUUUUUCUCAAUGUGGAAACUCGAAGUUCUGUGCCUAAGUUUUAUUUCAAGAAACAUUUUGUUUGUGUCAAUAGAUCCAGAGCCAAUGGGUUCAUUUAAAACUCUCUUUCAUGAUGGCAAUGAAUAAAAGAGGAUCCUAGACCAUCAGAAGAUUUUAGCCUUGGAGCUCCCCACCGUCCUAACACACACAGAUAGAGCUGGCUCCGAACUCUGCUGCUUCCAUGGUCGUGGCUACCUACUACUCUGUUCCUACUUCAUCUUCACUGUGAUUUUUGUCCAUAUGUCAGACUGAAGCAGACUGCUUAGGGCCUUGGGUUGAGGGAGCUUAUAGAACCUUGGGAACCAGGAACCCUUUAGGACCCUGUGAACUACAAGUCUGCUAUUUUAGGAAGUGGAUAAAAUGGCAUUUUGACAGAUCUGGAGGGUCUUGGAUCUACCUUUCAACAUUGGCAUUACUGAUAUUAGAGUACCACCACUCACUAGCUGUGGAGAUGUAGGAAGAUUACUUAACCACUCAGAGCCUUGGUUUCCUCAUUUGUUAUGUGAAGAUGACAAUAUCAGAUGACAGUGAGAUCUGAGAUGAAUUUAACUGCCUUCAGUAGUGCUGGCCUGCUCCUGAGAGAGAGAUGAUUGAGAGGGAGGAAGUAGAGAGGAGGAAGAAGCCUUUACUCACACUCCUUGAGGAGUGAUUCAGGUGGACAGCCUGAAUUACGGGAUUUAUUGGCAGCAAGUAAGUAUUGUCUGAGUGGAUUACUGCAAAAUGCUUUAGCUGGGGAUGGCUUUGAAAACCACUCAUCAAUUACAGAUGGUACCCAGUAUAGCAGCAGGAGUACCCUUGCGGGCUUUUGUUAUCUCCGACCUCUUCCUUCAUGGGUGACCGUUCUAACCCAAAGACCUCAACUGUUCAUCAAAAACCUGCCACUCAGAACUGCAUAUCAAUUAUUAAACAAUGUCCCAUGCAGGACAGUGACUUUAAAUUAUCUUGGAAAUGAUAAAGACCAACAUUUGUCUUUGUUAACAUGCUGAGUGAUUCUGUGGUCUCUAGUCACAGGUGAAAGGAUCAGAUUUGAGAUUUCUAGACACCAGAAUCACAUUAGGGUUAAGCAAAACUCCAUCUUUUCCCAGAGAAAAUUUAGCCAGAAAUGUUGCUUAUUUGAGAUGAGAAGUAAGAUGAAGUGUUCUAACAUGGCGGAGCUUGAUAUGCAAAUGAGCCCAUCUAGGGACAGUAGGGAUUGGUAAUGUGGGUCUGUGGAUGCCUGGAAGGCUCACAGAAAGACUUCAGGAAUUCCUGAGUCUCUUCAAAGUGUAAGCAAAAUUUUGUGUGUAUUUUCUUAUUUGCAUGAUAUGGCUUGGCUGUGUCCCCACCCAAACCUUAUCUCGAAUUGUAACUCCCACAAUUCCCACAUGUCGUGGAAGGAUCCUGGUGGGAUUCAUUAUGGGGGCAGGUCUUUCCAGUGCUGUUCUCAUGAUAGUGAAUGAGUCUCACAAUAUCUGAUGGUUUUAAA
This 3485-nucleotide long non-coding RNA is filed under the name Homo sapiens (human). RNAcentral describes it as "HSALNT0349300". Lineage: Eukaryota; Metazoa; Chordata; Mammalia; Primates; Hominidae. The record is from RNAcentral.